GACGAACGCUGGCGGCGUGCUUAACACAUGCAAGUCGAACGGAAAGGCCCUGCUUUUGUGGGGUGCUCGAGUGGCGAACGGGUGAGUAACACGUGAGUAACCUGCCCUUGACUUUGGGAUAACUUCAGGAAACUGGGGCUAAUACCGGAUAGGAGCUCCUGCUGCAUGGUGGGGGUUGGAAAGUUUCGGCGGUUGGGGAUGGACUCGCGGCUUAUCAGCUUGUUGGUGGGGUAGUGGUUUACCAAGGCUUUGACGGGUAGCCGGCCUGAGAGGGUGACCGGCCACAUUGGGACUGAGAUACGGCCCAGACUCCUACGGGAGGCAGCAGUGGGGAAUAUUGCACAAUGGGCGGAAGCCUGAUGCAGCAACGCCGCGUGCGGGAUGACGGGCUUCGGGUUGUAAACCGCUUUCGCCUGUGACGAAGCGUGAGUGACGGUAAUGGGUAAAGAAGCACCGGCUAACUACGUG
Molecule: ribosomal RNA, 468 nt
Filed under: uncultured bacterium
Lineage: Bacteria
Description: partial 16S ribosomal RNA
Rfam family: Bacterial small subunit ribosomal RNA
Source: RNAcentral